UCACAGGUGACUUUGUUUCUUCAUCUAAUCAUGAUUCCCAAGACAUUGGCCAGAUUUUUACUUUCCUGCAAGACAUUCAGAAUGAUAUUAUAUAUGCCAAAGUAAAAAUCUUCAGAGCAAAUGCUUGUCCAGGACUUGCAGGAAAAAGCUUGGUUUACUUGGAAACUUCAGAGAUGUGGAAUAUUUGUCAUUUAUCACAAGUACAGAAAGUUCAUGAAUAUACUUUCUAC
Molecule: long non-coding RNA, 230 nt
Organism: Saccostrea echinata
Lineage: Eukaryota; Metazoa; Mollusca; Bivalvia; Ostreida; Ostreidae
Exons: 3
Source: RefSeq, a predicted model, not a curated record